Molecule: ribosomal RNA, 725 nt
Filed under: Sporosarcina sp.
Lineage: Bacteria; Bacillati; Bacillota; Bacilli; Caryophanales; Caryophanaceae
Description: bacterial SSU rRNA
Rfam family: Bacterial small subunit ribosomal RNA
Source: RNAcentral
UGCAGUCGAGCGAUCUUUGGGAGCUUGCUCCUAAAGAUUAGCGGCGGACGGGUGAGUAACACGUGGGCAACCUACCUUACAGAUGGGGAUAACUCCGGGAAACCGGGGCUAAUACCGAAUAAUCCAUUUCUUCGCAUGAAGAGAUGUUGAAAGACGGUUUCGGCUGUCACUGUGAGAUGGGCCCGCGGCGCAUUAGUUAGUUGGUGGGGUAACGGCCUACCAAGACCACGAUGCGUAGCCGACCUGAGAGGGUGAUCGGCCACACUGGGACUGAGACACGGCCCAGACUCCUACGGGAGGCAGCAGUAGGGAAUCUUCCACAAUGGACGAAAGUCUGAUGGAGCAACGCCGCGUGAGUGAAGAAGGUUUUCGGAUCGUAAAGCUCUGUUGUAAGGGAAGAACACGUACAGGAGUAACUGCCUGUACCUUGACGGUACCUUACCAGAAAGCCACGGCUAACUACGUGCCAGCAGCCGCGGUAAUACGUAGGUGGCAAGCGUUGUCCGGAAUUAUUGGGCGUAAAGCGCGCGCAGGCGGUCCUUUAAGUCUGAUGUGAAAGCCCACGGCUCAACCGUGGAGGGUCAUUGGAAACUGGAGGACUUGAGUACAGAAGAGGAAAGCGGAAUUCCACGUGUAGCGGUGAAAUGCGUAGAGAUGUGGAGGAACACCAGUGGCGAAGGCGGCUUUCUGGUCUGUAACUGACGCUGAGGCGCGAAAGCGUGGGA